This 85-nucleotide transfer RNA is filed under the name Felis catus (domestic cat). It matches the Rfam family "tRNA". From Rfam's summary of the family: Transfer RNA (tRNA) molecules are approximately 80 nucleotides in length. Their secondary structure includes four short double-helical elements and three loops (D, anti-codon, and T loops). The record is from Rfam by way of RNAcentral. Lineage: Eukaryota; Metazoa; Chordata; Mammalia; Carnivora; Felidae.
GCCUGGGUGGCUCAGUCGGUUGAGCGUCGGACUUCGGCUCAGGUCAUGAUCUCACAGUUUGUGGGUUCGAGCCCCGCGUCGGGCU